RNAcentral lists this long non-coding RNA (348 nucleotides) under Sorghum bicolor (sorghum). RNAcentral's name for it is "long non-coding RNA (SBIC_LNC014365)". Lineage: Eukaryota; Viridiplantae; Streptophyta; Magnoliopsida; Poales; Poaceae. The record is from RNAcentral.
AAAUGCUAUAAUAGCUAUACCUAAAUUUUUCACCAACUAAACAAGGUCUAAAUAGAGGCCUUACAAAAAAAAACAGGAGAAGCAACCUAAUCUACCCCCCAGCCCUUCCUGAUCCCAACCCCACUCUCUCUCUCUUGCCUCACACUCUCACCACUCUCACUCCUCCCCUUUGAUGAGGCGAUGAUGGGCCCUCCACCAUUGCCGACCUCAUCCCCUCCAUCUCCCUCGUCCACGACCCCUCAUCGCCAACCGACCACGCUCCCUCCGCCACCGCCGAGCUCGCCACGAUGCCACUUGAGGUCACACCAGACUGCUUCCCCUCCUCAGCCCUCGACCGUGUCCCUACGC